Molecule: ribosomal RNA, 370 nt
Filed under: uncultured bacterium
Lineage: Bacteria
Description: bacterial SSU rRNA
Rfam family: Bacterial small subunit ribosomal RNA
Source: RNAcentral
GUAGGGGGCAAGCGUUAUCCGGAUUUACUGGGUGUAAAGGGAGCGUAGACGGCACGGCAAGCCAGAUGUGAAAGCCCGGGGCUCAACCCCGGGACUGCAUUUGGAACUGCUGAGCUAGAGUGUCGGAGAGGCAAGUGGAAUUCCUAGUGUAGCGGUGAAAUGCGUAGAUAUUAGGAGGAACACCAGUGGCGAAGGCGGCUUGCUGGACGAUGACUGACGUUGAGGCUCGAAAGCGUGUGGAGCAAACAGGAUUAGAUACCCUGGUAGUCCACGCCGUAAACGAUGACUGCUAGGUGUCGGGUGGCAAAGCCAUUCGGUGCCGCAGCUAACGCAAUAAGCAGUCCACCUGGGGAGUACGUUCGCAAGAAUG